RNAcentral lists this ribosomal RNA (511 nucleotides) under uncultured bacterium. RNAcentral describes it as "bacterial SSU rRNA". It matches the Rfam family "Bacterial small subunit ribosomal RNA", at positions 43 to 507 of the family's 1533-position model. The record is from RNAcentral.
CGUGCCUAAUACAUGCAAGUCGAACGCAUUGUGGUUGAAAUGAUAUGAAGAACUUGUUCAGAUUUGAUUUUCAACAUUGCAAUGAGUGGACGAACGGGUGAGUAACACGUGGGAAACCUACCUCUUAGCAGGGGAUAACAUUUGGAAACAAAUGCUAAUACCGUAUAAUAAUUAAAACCGCAUGGUUUUAGUUUAAAAGAUGGUCUUGCUAUCACUAAGAGAUGGUCCCGCGGUGUAUUAGUUAGUUGGUGAGGUAAUGGCUCACCAAGACAAUGAUACAUAGCCGAGUUGAGAGACUGACCGGCCACAAUGGGACUGAGACACGGCCCAUACUCCUACGGGAGGCAGCAGUAGGGAAUCUUCCACAAUGGACGAAAGUCUGAUGGAGCAACGCCGCGUGUGUGAUGAAGGGUUUCGGCUCGUAAAACACUGUUGUAAGAGAAGAAUGACAUUGAGAGUAACUGUUCAAUGUGUGACGGUAUCUUACCAGAAAGGAACGGCUAAAUACGUG